This 253-nucleotide ribosomal RNA is filed under the name uncultured bacterium. RNAcentral describes it as "partial 16S ribosomal RNA". It matches the Rfam family "Bacterial small subunit ribosomal RNA", at positions 524 to 776 of the family's 1533-position model. The record is from RNAcentral.
UACGGAGGAUCCAAGCGUUAUCCGGAUUUAUUGGGUUUAAAGGGUGCGUAGGCGGUUUAUUAAGUCAGUGGUGAAAUCCUGCAGCUUAACUGCGGCACUGCCAUUGAUACUGGUAGACUUGAGUAUGCUUGAUGUUGGCGGAAUGCGACAAGUAGCGGUGAAAUGCAUAGAUAUGUCGCAGAACCCCAAUUGCGAAGGCAGCUGACAAAAGCAAAACUGACGCUGAUGCACGAAAGCGUGGGGAUCAAACAGG